GAUGAACGCUGGCGGCGUGCCUAAUACAUGCAAGUCGAGCGAACAGACGAGGAGCUUGCUCCUCUGACGUUAGCGGCGGACGGGUGAGUAACACGUGGAUAACCUACCUAUAAGACUGGGAUAACUUCGGGAAACCGGAGCUAAUACCGGAUAAUAUAUUGAACCGCAUGGUUCAAUAGUGAAAGACGGUUUUGCUGUCACUUAUAGAUGGAUCCGCGCCGCAUUAGCUAGUUGGUAAGGUAACGGCUUACCAAGGCAACGAUGCGUAGCCGACCUGAGAGGGUGAUCGGCCACACUGGAACUGAGACACGGCCCAGACCCCUACGGGAGGCAGCAGUGGGGAAUCUUCCGCAAGGGGCGAAAGCCUGACGGGGCAACGCCGCGUGAGGGAAGAAGGUCUGCGGAUCGUAAAACUCUUUUAUUAGGGAAAAACAAAUGUGUAAGUAACUAUGCACGUCUUGACGGUACCUAAACAAAAAGCCACGGCUAACUACGG
This 496-nucleotide ribosomal RNA is filed under the name uncultured bacterium. Its description in RNAcentral is "partial 16S ribosomal RNA". It matches the Rfam family "Bacterial small subunit ribosomal RNA", at positions 28 to 506 of the family's 1533-position model. The record is from RNAcentral.